This 192-nucleotide ribosomal RNA is filed under the name uncultured Alphaproteobacteria bacterium. Its description in RNAcentral is "partial 16S ribosomal RNA". Lineage: Bacteria; Pseudomonadati; Pseudomonadota; Alphaproteobacteria. The record is from RNAcentral.
GGUUGUAUGGGGGGCAGUCUGAUGCAGCCAUGCCGCGUGAGUGAUAGAAGGCCUUCGGGUUGUAAAGCUCUUUUUUCCGGGACGAUAAUGACGGUGCCCCCAGACCGGCUAACUUCAUGCCAAAUAAAAAAUGCCCCCGGCCCUAUUAUAAUGAAUGACCGGAUUGAUGUCUUCCACGCUGUCCCGGCGGUU